Small nuclear RNA from Neoarius graeffei (lesser salmon catfish), 114 nucleotides. RefSeq annotates it as U5 spliceosomal RNA. NCBI's taxonomy places the organism in Eukaryota, Metazoa, Chordata, Actinopteri, Siluriformes, Ariidae. The record is from RefSeq and is a predicted model, not a curated record. The transcript has a single exon.
UUUCUAGGUUUCUCUUCAUUGGCGCAUAAAUCUUUCACCAUUUAUGAAAGAUUUCCAUGGAGAGGAAUGUUAAUGAGUUCAACUUAUUUUUGUAGGCUAUGCUCUGGCAGAGCU